UGUCAAUGUCAGAUAACCAAGUCUUAUGGUUUACAUUCCUAAUCAGGGGACGAUUUAUUCUAAUUUGGUGGCUCCUACACAACUUUCAAGUGAUGCAGGCAUGAAACGGUUCUGCAUUACAAAACAGUUCCCUUCACACACCCAACGCGGCAAACCCCAAAUUUUCCCCGAAAAGGCCAGGCACAGGCAAACGAAUUAACACCCCCUCUUGCUCAAAGAUCGAUUGGCUUUGGCUGGACGUGUCCUCCAGAGAGAAUUGCUGGGCGGUGACCAGGUUUCAGUGAGGAGAUGGACCCCUGGGCGGGCACCGGCAGUCCAGACAUCUCCAGCAGCCUCCUCCCACCCUCAAACGCGCCUUCCAGUAGGGUCUGCGGGCGCGGCUGCAGCAGAUCCCGGCGCCCCUGGAGCGCGCCGCGCCGCCGCCGCUGCAGCACGGUCGCAGCGACCUUCCCGCCCGCAUCUCCGGGAGCCCCGUUACCCACGUCCCCACACCCCACCCGAGAAAAAAGGGAGGGGGACGCACAACAAAGCCCAAUCCGAGGAGGCCCAAGUGAGCUUAUGUCCACAGCUCACAAGAAUAAAACCCCAACCGCUAAUGAGGCUUCCAAGACAUAAGAUGAGCUGUCCUCUGAUACAAGUCUGAUUUUGUCUCCUCCAACUCCACCACAACCUCACAAACCUCUUUGCUGUUCCUCCAACAUUCUUAUUCCUUUUGUGUCGUCAAGCCCAAAUACGUACCCACAAGAGGCUGUGAGCCUGAGCCCUAGAGGGCGGGAGAGGCAGCCUGAUCUUCCUUUCACCUUAAGCUGAAAGCUGAGGAGGACCAUGAUAGGAGUGGACGGCACAGACCAGGGCUCUCCAGGCUUGACCACUGAUGUUCUGCCCAGACUUUGCUUGGCCAUGAGGAUGGAGAGAGCAACUGGAGUCCUUGCUCAGAGCAACGGGCACAGUGGAGCCAGAGCAGUCUGCAGAAGUCACACCCUGGACUAGAAGUUUUGAGGAGCACCAGAGAGCCAAGAUUCAACAGUUGGCACACUUCCUCCAGGACGUUCAGAAACCACCCGAAAAGUAAAUUCAGAAGAAAAAUGGGCUUCCUGCAGCCCAUGAAGAGGGAUCUAUUGCAAUUUGGAUAUUAAAGAAGAAUGUUCUUGGUGUU
This is a long non-coding RNA of Capra hircus (goat), 1156 nucleotides long. RefSeq lists it as uncharacterized. The transcript has 4 exons. The record is from RefSeq and is a predicted model, not a curated record. Lineage: Eukaryota; Metazoa; Chordata; Mammalia; Artiodactyla; Bovidae.